CAGACAGUUGAAAUGCCUGGAGGAUCUCAGAGGGAAACACUGCUUUAACAAGAAUUCAAUAAGGCAUGCAGUGUGUUGCAGCUCCAUUUGCUUUGAUGGCAGAUAGCUUGGCACCCAUGGCUUCCAAGCUUUCUGCAGCUCCGGUCUGCUGAUGCAAAUCGUCCUCCAAAGCACUGGAGUCCUGUCUUUAGACCCUUCACUGGGUAGCACGUGACAAUCCCAAGCUGCCUUUAGCUUUGUCUCUGAGCUCUGCAGAGUCAACCACCACCACAGAGUGUCAGAUGUCAUAAAGGGAAGCACUAAGAUUAUCACAGAUGACUCUGAUCCCUCCACACCACUGCCUUUAGAAAAUGCCACGUACUGACCCUGCGAUAGAAGAUAGCUCUUCUACCUUUCUAAUGAAAUGUAAUCUUUUCGUUUCUCUGAGACAUGUACUCACAAGACACAUCUGAAGGCAGGUAUGAAAACCUUCUGAUGGGAAUUCCAACUGCAGUGACCUUGGGGCAAUGUUUUAUCUUACUGUGACAGUCCCUGCUGAGAAAGAUUGACUUUUUGGCAUAAAACAGCAUGCUGGGUUUUGGAUGUUCAGGCCAUAUUUCAGCCUGGCCUCCGUUUUGCCUGCAAAUAACUGUUCUCGUGCAAGAUACUGACAUUAAAAACUGGUUGUAAGGGCUGGAAACUUAGCACAGAAAUGCAAAUUCUGACCUUGCUUGAGUAGAUAGCAAGACUCCUGUUAAUUACAAUAUUUCUUUUCUGUAUAUCUCGGGGGGUUCACAACACCACUGGUUCAGAAAACAGAGUAUUUAUCAAUCUUUCUUCUAAGUAUUGACCACACUGAAUAGUGCAGCAGCACUUAGAACCUAGUUUCCCCACAGACUUGUGCAGGUAAUCUUCCAUGCAAUAUAAAAACAGCAAGCAUUUUCAUGAUGAUCUACCAGUGGUUAUUUACUUGGUCUGUUAUUUUGUAAUUCAAGAAUCAAGUUUUACUCUAUUAUUUUUCUUUUAACUCUACCAGACCAGUUAGGAGAAUGAGCUAGAUCUUGUUCUCUUUUGCAUACUAGCAAAAGAGAUAGUUCCUGAUAGCUACUGAACAAGCAAGUUAAGAGUUUGGCUUGUAAGAUAGUUGUCAUUUGUUUCAAUAGGCAAGAGUGGGAAUGUCCCCUCUUCCUUUACAUUGUUGAAGCUGUAGAAGAAAAGUGUAUUUUAAUAUAUGGAAGCUAAAUUACUGCUAAAUUCAGUCCAAUGGGCAGUGUAGAGCUAACAGUGUACUGUAUAAAGGAAAGCUAACAGCCUCUCCUGUUUUAAUGUGUACAUCUAGGUACGUCUGUAAUGAUCCCUGAGUCAAAGGCAUUGUGCACAAUGUACAUAGGUACUGAGUUGGCCCGCUACGCUCAAAAGUUUUAAGACCGGUUUGUCCAUGUGGAUUCUUGUUUUGAUUUCAGCUUUCCUUAUUCACUUAAGUAAUGUCAGAUGGAUGAAGGUAUUGGCGUGAUUAUACUGAAAUAUUUUUCAGUGUAAAAGAAACCAAAGAAUUGAUGCAUUUUAGAAAGACCAGGAUGAAAAAUUGGUUGAAACCAGUUUUGCUGUAAUGCUCUUCGGAGACCCACUACAUGUCUUCAUAGCCCUCAGCUGAUUCCCUCUAUCCUCUCCCAUGCAGGGUCCAUGACAGCUUCUGCAAGGUUGUAGUGCCUUUCUUUUCAUAGAUCUGCACUGAAAUGAGUUUUCCACUUUGCUGUGUCACUUUGUAGAGAUGCAGUCAAACAGCUUGUAUGAUUUUUACUUGGCAAGUCCCAUUGAAUAGUGGCAAUGCUGCUCAGUUAUGACAAAAGGACAAAGGUUUUUGCUUUUGCCCUACGAUGCCAAUAUAGCGCUGUCCUCCAGAUACCAUGAAAUGUACGCAUAUCCUACGGCAGUUAUUGGAGUUAGUUACUCCUUGGCUUGUGAUUAUCACAAACAGCAAAGUUACUGUUGACUACCUGUUCGUCAGGUUGCACACUGCAAAAUGGGCUACUAGGGCACCUGUUGAAAAGCCUUCACCAUAGCACUUGCUCUUUCUGUGAUCCAUCAGAGCCCAAAUCUGAUUUUCAGAUUCUAUCAAAGACAUGUCUGGCUGCUCAGAUGUUUAGGCCUGAGACACAUUUCACCUGAAGAGAGGGAGGCAGGAAUUUUUUGGCCUAUCCUGCUUUAAAACCUUGGUUUUGAUUGUGGCUGUCUUCAGGAACAGAACUGCUGACCACUGUAAACAAGUAUGUUUGUUUUUAAAAGUGUCCAUAAUUGCAGCAUUGCGUCAUCUCCACGGUUAUUUUAA
Aquila chrysaetos chrysaetos is the source of this 2308-nucleotide long non-coding RNA. RefSeq lists it as uncharacterized. Lineage: Eukaryota; Metazoa; Chordata; Aves; Accipitriformes; Accipitridae. The transcript has 3 exons. The record is from RefSeq and is a predicted model, not a curated record.